Molecule: unclassified non-coding RNA, 1454 nt
Filed under: uncultured Sphaeropleales
Lineage: Eukaryota; Viridiplantae; Chlorophyta; Chlorophyceae; Sphaeropleales
Description: sequence contains 18S rRNA gene, ITS1, 5.8S rRNA gene, ITS2, 28S rRNA gene
Rfam family: Eukaryotic large subunit ribosomal RNA (bases 529-1454)
Source: RNAcentral
GGAAGGAUCAUUGAAUCUGUCGGGACACACAGCAAGGAUACUGAGCUAGAGUAGGGGUUUCCCUCUCAAUACGCUCACUUAAUAUUCACUCCCAACAUCAGUCAAACUAUAUGAAGACGGUUAGCACCGCUGACCGUCAACAACCAAUACAACUCUCAACAACGGAUAUCUUGGCUCUCGCAACGAUGAAGAACGCAGCGAAAUGCGAUACGUAGUGUGAAUUGCAGAAUUCCGUGAACCAUCGAAUCUUUGAACGCAUAUUGCGCCCGAAGCUCCGGCUUAGGGCAUGCCUGCCUCAGCGUCUUGGUUACGCUCCGUAUGGGAGCAUCUUGGUGAUCAAACAUGAUUAUUCAAGCGAAUCUGGCAUUCCCAUGGCCUUGUUGCCUUGGGUAUGUUGAAACGAAGGGCAUGAGCAAGGAACACAUACGCGUCAACUGGACAGGUUCGCAUCUAAUGCGUGACACGAAGUUGGGGCGUGGGCUUUGUGAGUGCCGUGCAGGAAGCCAUUAGUAUGGCGACGCAAACAGUCGACCUGAGCUCAGGCAAGAUUACCCGCUGAACUUAAGCAUAUCAAUAAGCGGAGGAAAAGAAACUAACAAGGACUCCCUUAGUAACGGCGAGCGAACAGGGAAAAGCCCAACUGUAAAUCUCCCUCUGGAGAAUUGUAGUCUGUAGAAGCUUCCUCUGUGGCUUGCGGAGCCUAAGUCCCCUGGAAAGGGGCGUCAAAGAGGGUGACAACCCCGUCGGUUCCUGCCAAGUCGCUUCACGAGGUGCUUUCGAAGAGUCGGGUUGCUUGGGAAUGCAGCCCAAAGUGGGUGGUAAAUCCCAUCUAAGGCUAAAUACUGGCGAGAGACCGAUAGCGAACAAGUACCGUGAGGGAAAGAUGAAAAGAACUUUGAAAAGAGAGUUAAAAAGUGCUUGAAAUUGUUGAGAGGGAAGCGUUUGGAAGAUGCGGGUGCGCCUAGGCUUAUGCGUCUCUAACGAGCCGUUGUAUGUGCUAGGUGCUGGUCAACAUGGGUUGCAAUGGUGGGACAACCGCAAGGAUUGUUACCUUGUCUAUACCACCGUUGUGACCAAGGCGUGAAGGACGCCCUUGCCCCUCGGGAGCAGCGUCCUCAAGAUGUUGGCAGAAGUCUUCCAACCGGCCCGUCUUGAAACACGGACCAAGGAGUCUAACAUGUAUGCGAGUUGGUGGGUUGCAAACCCAUGAAGCGCAAGGAAACUAACUGGUGGGAUGGCCUGUGCCUGCACCAUCUACCGACCAUGAGCUUUUGCGAAAGGUUUGAGUGCGAGCAUACCUGUUGGGACCCGAAAGAUGGUGAACUAUGCCUGAGCAGGGCGAAGUCAGAGGAAACUCUGAUGGAGGCUCGUAGAUGUGCUGACGUGCAAAUCGCUUUUCGGACUUGGGUAUAGGGGCGAAAGACUAAUCGAACCAUCUAGUAGCUGGUUCCCUC